GCCAUACCACACCUCUUGCUUCACCUUUUUACCACUUAGAAACUUCUCGGCAAAGAGUAGCAAGGAAUGAGAGGAGAGGGAGGAAGCUCUUGAGCUGCCCAACAAUUAAGGAAUCACCAAAGCAAGGAUAUUUUGCUCGAGGGCAAAGUGAGGCCAACACGAGAGUUUUUAUUUGGAGAUAAGCAUAUCAGAUUUAAGCAAGGGGGCGGAGGCGUGCUGAUCAGAGUCGAUGCUACUUAAGAAAAUAAGUGUGGAUCUCUCGACGCUUCGUGUCUUCAUACGCGAAGUCGUUCUCUGGACUUUUUCCGCUGCAGUUUGUUAAGAGAGAAUAGUAAACUCUCAACAUCGAAACUCUGAUUCAUUUUGAUGAAAUGCUAUUGUCAUUUGAAUCCUUGUAUUUGAAUACUUGGAUCCUAUCUUAUGAUAUUGUUUGACUUUUCAA
This is a non-coding RNA of Salvia hispanica, 442 nucleotides long. NCBI's taxonomy places the organism in Eukaryota, Viridiplantae, Streptophyta, Magnoliopsida, Lamiales, Lamiaceae. The record is from RefSeq and is a predicted model, not a curated record.